Molecule: long non-coding RNA, 434 nt
Organism: Panthera uncia (snow leopard)
Lineage: Eukaryota; Metazoa; Chordata; Mammalia; Carnivora; Felidae
Exons: 2
Source: RefSeq, a predicted model, not a curated record
GGUGCAUUUUCAAAACAGCAUAGGACCCCUGCAAAGAAAUCGGAAUGCACAGACAAGCAAAGCCGCAUUAACAUUUGCAGCCUCUUACCCUGGCCGAUGGUUACUGUUAUCAGAUCACAUCCUUCCAGAUCUUCUCCUGUGUACACAACAUUACGAAACCGAAAGAAAAGGAUGCUACUGUGCCUGCCCUUUUGAGAGCAGCUAUUUUCUGUGAAAGGAAUAUAUAUGCUGUGAGCAUUCAUUCACGCCGAUAACUUUUCCACCGCAGCGAAGGAACUUCAGAACAGUGUACUCAUCACAGAACCUCAGGGAACAUAGUUCUGUGGUCCGAAUGCCCCUAUCUGGAUUCUAACAUUCCAAAUUUAUCUCACAUUUAUUCCAUCAUCAUUAUUUGUAGAAAAUCUUCCUGCGUUGUGUAAAGUUUUUGUUGUUUU